GGCCUGUUGGUGAAGCGACUUAACACACCGCCCUCUCAAGGCGGCAUUCAUCAGUUUGAAUCUGAUACAGGUCACCA
This 77-nucleotide transfer RNA is filed under the name Mycoplasmataceae bacterium. RNAcentral's name for it is "tRNA-Glu". The record is from RNAcentral. Lineage: Bacteria; Bacillati; Mycoplasmatota; Mollicutes; Mycoplasmatales; Mycoplasmataceae.